RNAcentral lists this small nuclear RNA (319 nucleotides) under Jaculus jaculus (lesser Egyptian jerboa). RNAcentral describes it as "7SK RNA (ENSJJAG00000001436.1)". It matches the Rfam family "7SK RNA". From Rfam's summary of the family: 7SK was discovered as an abundant small nuclear RNA in the mid-70s but a possible function has only recently been suggested. Lineage: Eukaryota; Metazoa; Chordata; Mammalia; Rodentia; Dipodidae. The record is from Rfam by way of RNAcentral.
GGUUGUGAGAAUGAUCUGGUUGCAACAUCUGUCACCACAUUGAUCUCUAGGGUUGAUUCACUGAUCUGGCUGGCUAUUUGGGUGUGCCCAUCCUCCUUCAGCACUCCAUGUGCAUCCCUCCAGAAGCUGUGGACAUGGUGGAGUAGGAGGACCUUCCCUGAAGAGAGGAGGACUGGUCUUUGGUCUAGGGUAUACCAGUAGCUGUGCUCCCCUGCUACAACCUCUAAACAAGCUUUCAAGUAAAUUUGAGAUUCUAAUAUAGAAAAUGCAUUAUGUCACAUUUAUAACUAGUUUCUUUUUAUGGGAUUUACAAGUAUUU